AUGGCACUGAGGGAGCUGGCCAUUGAGGGCGUGGUGAAUCCAAACAUCACAGAGCCAGGACCUCCCAGCCGAGAGACUGCGGCCAGCUGGGAAGCAGUGGAGACUGAGGAGUGGGAAGAAGGCUGGAUUUUCCUUGAUGCUAUUUUGAAAAAUGUUCAGUGUGAGGUGCAGCUGGUGGAGUUUGGUGGAGACAUGAGGCAGCCUGGAGAGUCUCUGAACCUCUCCUGUGAUGACUCUGGAUUCACUUUCAGUAGUUACUGGAUACACUGGGUUCUCCAGGCUUCAGGGAAGGGGCUUUACUACGUUGCACGAAUUAACCCUGAUAAUUUUACUAAGGGAACAAUGAACUAUGCCCAUUCCGUGAUGGUUCUAUUGACCAUCUCCAGAGACAAUUCCAAGAACACACUUUACCUGCAAAUGGACAGUCUGAGAGCUGAGGGCACUGUCCUGUAUUACUUUAUAGCAGAAAUCACUAAUCAUCUGACACUGAAUUUCAGCGAUUUGGCGGAUGGCCGCGAGAGGGCGCGAGAACCGCAGGUUCUGCCCUCCCGGCCCACCGAGCGUAGGAACCGCCUGAGGCUCGGUCGGGACCGACCUGAGCGCCGCUCCCACGGCGACAUCAGGAGCUUUGCUUCCUGCCGGGCCCACCGCCCCCGGUAG
Molecule: non-coding RNA, 660 nt
Organism: Trichechus manatus latirostris (Florida manatee)
Lineage: Eukaryota; Metazoa; Chordata; Mammalia; Sirenia; Trichechidae
Source: the annotation of a RefSeq genome assembly